This 301-nucleotide ribosomal RNA is filed under the name uncultured bacterium. RNAcentral describes it as "partial 16S ribosomal RNA". It matches the Rfam family "Bacterial small subunit ribosomal RNA", at positions 509 to 807 of the family's 1533-position model. The record is from RNAcentral.
CAGUAGCCGCGGUAAUACAGAGGAUGCAAGCGUUAUCCGGAAUGAUUGGGCAUAUAGUGUCUGUAGGUGGCUUUUCAAGUCCGCCGUCAAAUCCCAGGGCUCAACCGUGGACAGGCGGUGGAAACUACCAAGCUGGAGUAUGGUAGGGGCAGAGGGAAUUUCCGGUGGAGCGGUGAAAUGCGUUGAGAUCGGAAAGAACACCAACAGCGAAAUCACUCUGCUAGGCCGACACUGACACUGAGAGACGAAAUCUAGGGGAGCAAAUGGGAUUAGAUACCCCCGUAGUCCCUGUCUCUUAUAC